RNAcentral lists this long non-coding RNA (5044 nucleotides) under Setaria viridis. RNAcentral describes it as "long non-coding RNA (SVIR_LNC000650)". Lineage: Eukaryota; Viridiplantae; Streptophyta; Magnoliopsida; Poales; Poaceae. The record is from RNAcentral.
AAAUGCAAGGCAGUGUGAUGACCACCUUCUCCCUGAGACCAAGGCAGUGCAACGGGAGCUGCCUUCUCGCAUCAGCAGCAUCACAGCGGCCAUGUAUUUCUUGGAGGCGUCGGCAGCAGAAGCACACGCUGCAACGCCAGCAAAUGCAACAGCGUUCAGUGGCAACAGUACAUCAUGAUAAUCUUGAGGUUGACGAUCGCUUGAGCAAGAACCCAUGCAAUUUUCAACCUUCUAUAUGGGGAGAUUUCUUCCUGCGCUAUUCCGACCCAGCAGCUUCCUCCAAGCAACAGGUUCAUCGAUUUUCAUCUCUUUUUAAACGUAUAUAGACUCACUAUAUCUUGUUUUCUUUAAAGAUUUAUUAUUGGGGCUGAAAGCCUGUUUUUCUAAAAAAAUAGUGAGCAGAGUUAUCUAUCCCUGCGGCCCUAGUCGCUUUAUAUGUUCAAAUUAUUUCAGUCCCUACGUCCUACCCUCUGCAUCUACAGGCAACUCGCAGCAGGUUUCAAUCACUAUGUAAGCUAGCGAUGCUCUUUUACUGCUACGAUAAUGGUCGGCAUUCUCAACAAUCCCUUCUGAAAUCCCAUAACCAGCAGGACCACAUUAUUAUCCUCGCCUUUCUACAUGCAUGGUUCCUUGCGAAUCGUCCAAACUCAAGUUACCUCAGAUAAUACUACUCAUAGCACCAUUAACUGCAAAAUUAUGUCUGUUUUUGUCUCUUUUUUCCUUCUUUUGACAAGUUUGAUUGCAAGUGAAAUUUCCCUAAUGGAUAAGUUUUUGCUUCACAUAACCAUAAAAAUAUGAAGAUUCGUUUGAUCUCACCCUCUAUUACCAAAUAGAUGUUCCGAACACAUGCAACUCAACAUGUGAAAUUUUCGCGCUUCUGUUAAUAUGCAUAAAAGUAUCUAGAUUCUUUUAGUUUUGUAUAAUAAAAGUAUAUAGUGAACAGAAAGUUGGACAUAUCAAGUGACAGUCAGACAACUGUAAAAUCGAACUGUUCAAUAGGCGCUCGUGGACAUGGUUCCAAUGUUUGAAGUGAUUAGUACAGUAGAGGUAGCAUCAAAAUAUACUGAAUAUGUUCAAUUCAUUUUUUAGAAUGAUUUUUGAUCAAUAAUAAUAUUACCAACAUUAAAAGAGGACAGUAUUAUUGGAGGGCACCAAUCUUGGCGUCUGCCCAUGCUGCCAGGAAUCCCAACCUUGGCGUACGUUGGCUAUUCUGGAGCAGGUGUUCAGUGUUCUCAGUCUUCUGGCUGAUUCCGAAAGGGGGCCAUAUCGGUGUCCUUUCCAAAUUAUUGCUAACUCGGGUCCCAUGUGUGCAAGACUGUUCUGUUAGUGAUGUAGAUUCUGUGCACCAACUUCCAAUUGGGACAACUCAAAAUAUUUUCAUGACUGAUGCAACUAAUAAUAUUGUAUCCUAUCUAAAAUAAUUAUUGAUAAAUACUGUCUUCGCUUAGUCUAUAUAUAUGAGCUCAGUUUAAAUACUGCUUUCGGCAGAUUUGGAUGGCAGAACGAGCAGAUAAAAUGAAGGAAGCCGUGGCAAAGAUGAUAGCAAGUUCAGUUGCUUGGGACCUUCAUCCGAGACUACAACUCAUCGAUGCAUUGGAGCGCCUGUGCCUGGUUCAUCUGUUCGAAGAUGACAUCAAUGCUGCAUUGGCUCAAAUUAAGACUGCCAAUGUUACUGGAUGUGAUCUUCACACGGUAGCUCUGUGGUUUUAUCUGCUCCGUAAGCACGGAUACAGAGUGUCUCCAGGUAAGAUUUACAUAUAUGGAUCGAGAGUGUUUCAAGCAGUUGUGUUGAAGCUAGGAUGAUAUUGGACUAAUGUAUCUGUGUUAAAUAGUACGAAGUAGAUAAUCAUCUCCACAUCGAAGAAAACACAGAACAUCACCCAAAUCAAUAAAUUUAUAUAGAAUAAAUCUUAAUGGGUAGGAUGAAUGAAACAAAUUAUAUUACCCCUUCCCAUCACAAAAAGUUAAGUGCAAGGUUCUAGUAGGUUGUUUGCAAGAAAACUAUCAUGACUUUUGCCACAUAUACUUUUUUGUAUAUAGUAAUUGAGCAUUCAAAGAUAGCAUUCGUAUUAAGCAAAGUAGGUUGUUUUAUGACUAGAUGGAGUACUUCUCAUACUUCCUAGUUCCAAACAAAACACGCUGAAUUGGUAAAGAUGGGGUCAGAUUACUUAAAUUGUUAUUUUCUCCAUUUCCUUUAAUAUUAUAUUCAUCAAUUAUUAAUUCCAAUGCCAAGGUGUGUUAUAUAUGUAGCAAUGAUUCCUUUUUAAAAGCUUCACCACAUGAUAGGAGUUGAUUUGUUACAUCUUUCUCUCUCCAUCUACCAGUGUAAAUCAUAUUUUGAAAUAUAUUGAAGAUUUGGUUCCAUUACUAUUUUUUACCUUAACAUUAUCUUAUAUUUACAGAUUGUUGCCAAUUGCUAAAAAAAUCAACAUUAUCAUAAAUUAAUUCAAAUAUGAAUCUAUUGAUGAACUUUUAUACCGCAAAAAUGAAUAUAUUUUGAAUAAUUCUUGGUCAAAGUUUACAAAGUUUUGACUUUCUCAAAACAGAAUAUGUCUUAUAUUGAUGGAUUGAGGGAAUACUAAUUUUGCAAAUACCAUUUCAUGAAUUUGUUGUGGUAUUUUCAGACAUAUUUGUGAGGUUUAAAGAUCAAGAUGGAAGUUUUUUUGCGAACAAUCCUGUGGAACUAUUGAGUCUUUACAACGCUGCUCACCUCGGAACCCAUGGAGAGACAAUACUUGAUGAAGCCAUAGUUUUUACAAGAACGCAUUUAGAGACAAUAUUUCCCUCUCUGGAAGGAUCAUUAGCACAUGAAGUCAAAUGUGCACUUGAGAUUCCCCUCCCAAGAAGGGUCAGAAUUUAUGAGUCAAAGUAUUAUAUCUCCACAUAUGAGAAAGAGGCUACAGUACAUGAAUCAGUACUGCAACUUGCAAAGCUAAACUCUAAUAUUAUGCAAUUGCAUCAUCAACAAGAAUUGGAACUCAUUACAAGGUGAAGUAAUGCUAUUAUUUGAAAUUUACUCCAUAUUACCAUUUCAUUGUUACUAGUUAAUCUGGUAAAUAUAGAUUCGUAUGUAGUUUAAUUAUAUAUUUUUAAUUGAGUUUUUAAACACCUCUACUAAUGAUUUUUUUCAAAAUUAUACAGAUGGUGGAAGGAUCUAGAGAUUGAAUCAAAGCUUCCAUUUGCCCGAGAUAGAGUUGUUGAGUGCUAUUUUUGGAUAUUAGGAGUAUAUUUCGAACCAUGCUACUCACGAGGCCGGAUAAUAUUGACAAUGGUGAUUUCUAUUGCCACCAUAUUUGAUGAUAUGUUUGAUUCCUACGGAACUGUAGAAGAGUGCGAGUUACUCACCAACUGCAUAGAAAGGUUUGUGCCAGCUUGCUUGCGUCUAUAUAAUCGUCAAAAGUUUGCAUGUGCAAUAUAUAAUUACGCAUGAGUCAAAGUGUCAAACACCAUAAAGGGUACAUAUUUGGUAGCACUCUUUUGUUGUUAUAUGGACACAUGUAGCAUUCACAUAUAUGUUUGUUGGGAAAUAAUAAUGUGCAGAUGGGAUAGAAAAUUGGCUGACGAUCUCCCAGAGUGCAUGAAGCAUGCGCUUGGGAAAAUUUUGGAUAGCUAUGAAACCAUGGACAAUGAGCUGGCGCAGGAGGAGAAAUAUCGCAUGCCCUAUCUGAAAAACUUCGUAAGUUACAUUUCUUUUAUUUUUAUUUAACCUAUAUAUCUUAAUCUAAAAAGUAUAAAAAAUAAGAAUAUAUAGUUGCAUACCACAUAUGUAUACUUAUAGUUGCUUUUAAUUAGUAGUUUUUUUAGAGAAGCUUUUAGUAGAGUAUUUUGUAGUGUGUGCAGGGAAUAGAUUCGUUGGUGUGUGAUUGUGCCCUGUGCCUGUGUGCGCAGGCGGCACCUUUGCUAUCACAAAAAAAAAAGUAGUAUGUAGGUAUUAGUUACCUAUAGUGAAAGACUCCUUUUGAUUUUAUUUUCUUAAUACUUACAUUUGUGAACUUUACCAUGUACUAACUGGCAUCGAUCUGCAGACAAUAGAUCUGGUCAGAGGCUACAAUGCCGAGGUAAAAAUGCGUGAAGAAGGAUACAUCCCGAGAACUGUAAAUGAGCACCUACAAGUUUCGUUAAGGACUGGUGCAUGUCACCUGUUGGCGUGCGCUUCCUUCGUUGGAAUGGACGAGAUAGCAACAAAGGACUCUUUUGAUUGGGUCUCUACCAUGCCUAAAAUCGUAAAAGCACUUUGCAUAAUUUUGAGACUAUUGGACGAUCUACAGACAUAUGAGGUAAUGUUAAUGUCUCAAACCUUAGCUAAAACUUCUGAGCUUUGAAGCCUGAUGUAUAUUUCGCAGCAUGGCUCUGUGCUCUAGCAAGUGCAUGCUGAUGACAUUCUCAAACAAUAUGGAUACAUGCAGUUUCAUUAAAAAACAUAUGGAUACAUGCAUUACUGCUUCACAUUUUAUAACCACCCUUUCUUUUACCAAAAUUGUACUGAGUUUUAUAUGGCAUUAAUAAUUUGUCCAUGCAGCGAGAGCAAUUGCACCCUCAUGUUGCUUCAACCAUCAAAAGCUACAUGAAAGAGCACAACGUCUCAAUUGAAAUUGCACGCAAGAAGAUAGAGGAACUGAAAGAGGAGACGUGGAAAGAUUUUAACGGCGAGUGGCUGAAUCCUGAUAAUGCAGUGCCUAGUUCGCUAUUGGAGAGGAUAUUCAAUUUGACCAGGACGAUGGAGUUCAUCUACAACCUGGAUGAUAAUUUCACGAACUGUCAGAACCUCAGAGAUACCAUCCACUUGUUGUUUGUGGAGCCCUUUCCUAUCUCCUAGUGCAAAUAAUUCCAACAAAUAAACAGUGUGUCGCCCAGUGCCAGAUGCCCAUGUCCACAUGCACCAUAUUCUUUGUACAAGUUUGUGAUUUGAGCUACUAGCUACUGUUCGUUUGGUGUUUAUUUGUAUUUGGAAGUAUUGCCUUGAUUUCAGUCACCGUGAUGAUUUUUUAAUGUACCUUGGGCCAAAGUGACAACCAGUCACAUUUUACUCAAAAAAAAAAAGAUA